UACGUAGGGGGCAAGCGUUGUCCGGAUUCAUUGGGCGUAAAGAGCGUGUAGGCGGCCAGGUAGGUCGGUUGUGAAAACUGGAGGCUCAACCUUCAGAGGUCGACCGAAACCAUCUGGCUAGAGUCCGGGAGAGGAGAGUGGAAUUCCUGGUGUAGCGGUGAAAUGCGCAGAUAUCAGGAAGAACACCCGUGGCGAAAGCGGCUCUCUGGAACGGUACUGACGCU
RNAcentral lists this ribosomal RNA (224 nucleotides) under uncultured bacterium. RNAcentral's name for it is "partial 16S ribosomal RNA". It matches the Rfam family "Bacterial small subunit ribosomal RNA", at positions 524 to 747 of the family's 1533-position model. The record is from RNAcentral.